Molecule: long non-coding RNA, 6701 nt
Organism: Pseudopipra pipra
Lineage: Eukaryota; Metazoa; Chordata; Aves; Passeriformes; Pipridae
Exons: 3
Source: RefSeq, a predicted model, not a curated record
GCAGCAGCGUUAUAGAUGAUGUGUCUGCAGACCUCCCGAUUGGAGGCCAGAGUAGACCAGUAUGUGCUUGUAUGUUUUCACCAAAAGAUCUGGCCUCAGGUCCUAGAUGGUUUUUAAGAAACCAUUUAAGCACGUGACUCAGUUUUGAUUAGAAAUACUGACUGGAUCAUUGGUUUAAGUCAUCUGCUACCAAAGUGUGUCGUAUGAGUUGAUUCACAUCCCUUUGAGAAAUUAUUUCGGGUUUUUUUGCUCCUUUUGCUGCUUCUGGAAGCACCUUUGAGAACAUUCUGGUUCUAGUAGGCAAGCUUCCACUUUCUGACAUAACUUCUUCCUGUUUAGUAUUCAUUUCUUCUUGGGUGUCUAAAUUAUCCUUUAAUGGAAAAAACUCUACUUUUGGCAUUUAGUGUUCUGAUAUUUAUGGAGAGCCCAGUCCUCUUCAGGCUGUUUUGCUGUGAUAAACAGUCCAAGCUGGUUUAAACUGUCGUAGAGAGAUAGACUCUUCAUUCCCCUGUAGAUGCCAAUCUGUCUCAUCUCUACUUUAAUUAGUCUUUAUUGGAUAUGAGUGAUAGAAAUCUACACCCAGCUCCAGAUAAAAUCUCUUUAGUGCCUGAAGAGAGUUUCAUAUGCUUAAAAUUAUUCUCGCUUUGAAAUCACUUAAGGCCAUUUCAUUCAACCCCCUUCACUAACUUGUACGUUUCUGUCGUACAUCAACAGUGACACCUCUAGAUUUAAUUGAAAAAUCUCUAAGAUUUUUUUACUUCUUCUUAAUACCACAUUUUUGCUCUAUACGGUGGUAUGUGAUACCAAGAGUCAUAGUUUUUAAUGAAAAUGGGCAGUAAAGCAGCGCUAUAUACUUCAGUCUUAAGCACUGAGCAUUUCUAUGUAAACUCACCUGCAUAUAUUUGCGUAUUUAGUGGGACAAACAUAAACAUUCUGUCUUAACACUGCAGACAGUGAGCCUUUGAAGCAGAGAAAUACAUAUUUUUAAUCUUGUAUUGGGAAUUGCUCUGUGCAGCCACCUAAUUUGUUUAAGAACCUUGAUACAGUGUUUGUAGAGUUUUUCAAAACAUUUGCCAAUUCAAAUGAGAGAACCUAGAAAAAUGAAGCAUCGUAGCCCUUGAAUUCUUUUAUUUUUAUAAAUAUUUGCAUUUUGAUUACACUAGACUUAAUACCACAUGAGGAAAUGUGAUAUUGGAUCAAAGCUGUUGCUCAUGCUGUAGCUGAGACUUGUUUAAAAUGGCUGAUUUAUUUGUAGUAUUCCCUUCUACUCCAUACUGUUGAGUUACAAGUUACUUUAGCUGAAUAUGUUCCAGUUAGCUCUAAAGAAGAGUAAAUUAUAUUGUCCAGCAUUGUGGACAAAAGAAAGUCUUGCUAUAACAUGUAACAAUGUAUAGAGCUGGUGAUGAAAGAGAUAUAAGAACAUCUAUCAUAAAUAAGAAACUACUCUGAUAUUCUCAGGAUUUGAGAACAUGUAGGCUAGAUCAUAACAGUCCAAAGUGGAGCUAAAAGGGGCAGAAAAACUUAUACCUGAUCUGUGUUGGUAAUUCCUCUAAAAUUUACCAGGUUUGUCAGCUUUAGUUCUGCAAGGAGUUAUGCUCUGCAUAAUCUGUCAUUACAAAUCUAGAUGAUGGAAUAGAAAAUGCUUAUUUGGUUUACUGGCAAUGCUGCACAGAGAAGGAGAUGGAGAUAUUGGAGGGUAGGCUCAGGGUUCAUAAUUAAUUUAAUAAUUAAAUAAUCUGAGGAAAAAAAAUUAUAAUCCCAAAAAGGAUAUGGUGAAGGGGAGAAUGUAGGCAGAGAGGGCAAUAAGAAUGAUGAGUUUGGGUAGUAGGAUAUAUAAGCUGGUGUAAUGUGCGUCUGUAAUUUUCACCACUGUAAGUAAGAAAUCUUAUCUUAAAAACAUGCUGGUGAUACAAGAAUUACUUUUAUUUUUGAGGUGGUUACCUAAGGAACAGAGCUCAGUAAUUUUUGAGUGUUUAAAUUGAGAGGCCUCAUCACCUAUUUUAUAGUCACUUUUUAUGUGGUAUUUAAAUAUUUAGUAUAUAACUUCUGCUAACUGAACUUCCACUUUUAAUUUAGAGGUCAUUUCUUUUUAAAAUCAGACUUUCCAGAUGUUUCAAAUUACACAGCCAUGAAAUAAAGGACUCCAAAGUUGUGGGGGUUGUGCGUUGAUCUGUGAUAGAGACAAAGAUAGAAUCCACUACUCUGUGGAAGCAUUUAAGUAUUUGGACUAAAGAAAUGCUUUUUCUACUUAACCCUUCCAGUUCUUGUCUUCUGUACAAUUUCACUUGAAUAUCCGACUGAUAGCAACCUCUUUAAGUCUUUGAAUUUCCAUGUCACUAAAUCAAGAUCCAUGCUUAUUCAUGAAGAACUAUGCAAUACUUAAUGUCAGAAUGUAGGUUAAUAGAUAUGUACAUAAAUGCUGAAAAGGUUUGAUAACAACCUAAAUUCUGAAAUUUCUUAAUAGCUAAAUGUUUAUCUUUUAGAAUCAUAGUAUGUUUUAAUGUGAUUUUUAUGUAUUUUUAACUGAAGUUUAUAACAUAUGAAGUUCUUAAUAGUUCCUGUGGCGCAAUAAUUUUCUUUGUACAUUAUAAAAGAAAAAAUCUAAAUAUUAACUAUUUUUCUUUUCCAUAUCAGAUUGUGAAAACAAUCCUCUCCUUCGUCCAGGUAUCACCAUGAUAACCGAUGACCCGGUUUGAAAGUUGCAAUCUUCUGGGAAGUCUGAAGUUACUUGGACAGUGGACCCUGAGUUUUAUUCUAGACUCUUUUCUUUGAUUAAGAACUCUUACAUAUUACUCAUGUACCACACUGGAUUUAGAAUAUUAAUUUCUACAGUCAUAUACAAUAUAAUUUUUAUUUCUGUAGCCUUAUAUAAUAUGAAUAGAAUAACAUGUCGUAGUGUCUUGAGAGGGCUUGUGCCUAGUCUUGUUCAAUUUGUCAUUGUAAAAAACCCUAUUUCAGAUUAGUGCUGGAUAUUUAGGUAUGUACAUUAGCGUUGUUCUAGCAGUGUUGUUUUAGCUCACUCUUAUUUUUUUUUUCACCUCCCCGCCUCUGUUUUAUGUGAUGGGUAGUGUUUUUGCACAAAAUUAGGAAAAUAAGCCUGUACCAAAAUUGACAUCCUCAAAGUAAUAAAACUUAAUAGAAGCCACAUUUGUGAUGGACUUCUUGUUAACAAGAAUCUAUAGGAUCGCUGCCGACAUAUAAUGUUACAGAUAUCUCAUUCUUAAUCAGUGUAGGUUCAGAAACUUGGUUUCAGAGGUAGAGGAAGUGAAUAGGGGCAGAAGGAAGAACUACAACUUAAGGGUAGAAUCUUGUUGAUUUAUAUUUUUGUGGUAUUUUCAGGUUAUUUAUUGAGUUUUGUUACUGUAAAUGGCUUAUUUGAUUGUCCUUGUUAUUUCAUAAAUAAUUUUACAUUUCAGUGACUAGUUAUAGCUGACCUAAUCUUGAUUGUACAGGCCAUGUGAGAAAAGAGAGUAAACGCUAUUGCCACCAGGGAACUUGCUUAACAAAAACCAGUGCUGUCCAGUCUAAAAGUAUGGACUGGUCUUUAAAAAAAUCCUGAUUCAGCUGGAAUCUCAAAUGAAACAAUAUACUUGUGCCUGUGGUAUAACAUACAUGUACUUAGAGAAAAGUGCAGCAAACACAGAAUAUUUGACUUUUAAUUAUUUCUUUACCUCAGUGACUUCUCUGUUAAGAUGAAUAUUCAACUGUAUUUUUGGCCAGAUCUUCAGUUGGCAUUAUUUGUUAUACCAUUACUGGCUUUUCUUGACACCAGUUAAAGUGAUGGUCCUUUAGCAGGCUACGUUUUCACUCGAUCCCUCCUGUAAACAUUUUUAAAUCUUCUAUAACCUAGAGAGAUUGAGUUGUGUAUGAGGCCAAAUUACCAUAAAAAUGAAAUGUAUUCAACAAAAUAAGUACUUUUUUCCCGGUGGUAAUAUCUCCAUGUUCAAAGGUUGAAAUGUAAUAAGAAAAGUGCAGAAAGGAUAGUUGCAACUUUUCAGUUAUAGAAUCAGUUUUGUUCAUGCUGUAGAAUAAAAGUGUUUCUGAAGCAAGUCAUUCAUUAAGAAUUACUGGGGACUUCAGUCUGUAUAAUAACCAUGAUAAAAGGGGCUUAGCAUUCAGCAUGAAUUAUAGUGAAAGCAUAUAUUGCGUAUAUGUACACACAGUAUAUCAUGAUAAAAUUGUUUAAGCACAUUAUUAAAGUUUCUAAUAAUAUAUUCAAACUUUGUGAGGUAAAAAACCUUUUCUGUUUACUUGCAUAACUUUAAAAUCAUAAGGAGAGAGAACUUCCUUCUCUCUUUUUCAGUGUUAUCUAUGUUAAGAAUGGCUUUGUGUUUUGGUGUUCUCCUUUCCACCUUUUCUACUUGAGACAACUUUGCUUGAAAAAUCUAUGUUUAGAUUAGAUAUUAGGAAAAAAUUCUUUACUGUGAGGGUGGUGAGACACUGGAACAAGUUGUCCAGAAAGGUUGUGAACUCCCCAUCCCUGGAAAUCUUCAUGACCAGGCUGGAUUGGGCUCUAAAUAACAUGAUCUAGUGAAAAGUGUUGCUGCCCACGGUAGAGGGGUUGGAUCUAGAUGAUCCUUAAGGUUCCUUCCAACCCCUACAAUUCUAUAAUUCUAUAAAAUAAGUAAAACCUUCCUCCAUGGAAGGCUGAUUGUUAUUUUAAUACUUGAAAUAUCAUGUGAAGUAUAAUUCAUGUAUUGAAGAAGUGUUAUACCUUUGGGAGAUGAUUCUUCUCUUUCUCUGCUAAUAACAAACAAUGCAAUUUUAUAUUAUGACAUAUUGUGACUACAAUAGGUUUAGAAAUUGAAAGUUAAAACUAGCAAACAAAUAUAAUUUCUCAAAGGAAUAAUUGUUUUUUAUGGCUCAGGGAAUAAAUAUCUGAAGCGGAAGGAAUGUUAAGAACUCCCAUCAUUUGCCACUUGACGAUUAAGGCUGUAACCUUUCAUGUUUUAUGAGAGAAGUUUUCGAACUUCUCCAUCUCAAUGAAAUAUUUCAGAGUUGUCAAGUCCACUAGUAGAAUAAACAUGAAGUGGGAUGCUUGGACUACAGUACAGUGGUCCUUCAGCUUUAGGCAUCUCAAGUAGAAAAAGUCAGUGGCAGUGGGGUCAGUUUGUCUUCUCUGACUUAGUAAAAGUGAGAGUCUCUGGCCUUGCUUCUAUUUUAAAGGCAUGCUUCUGGCAUCAGAAAAAUGCCCUGGUAGGCUAGAGAAUAAAAUAUAUGUUAUCCCACUGUUAUGUUUGUAUUUAAAAUACCUGUAUUUUAAAAAGUGGAAUAAAAAUAAGCAGAUUUUAGUUAAUUGACAAACAUGGCAAUAAUGACCAAGUUUCUGGGAAAAAAAAGGCAAGAAUUAAGAUUGUAAAUGUAUGCAAACAACUUUAGGUCAUAAUUUUGAUUGAAAUACAUUAUAAAAAACUUUCCUUGGAUGAGGAAAUAUGGGAAAUAUGUGACUGAAAACUUCUGCUCUUGGAUAAUCUGACUUAAGGGCUCCUCACACAUGACAGUGAUGCCAUUAUAUAGGAAGAGAACAGUUUCUGAGGCCCAUCCAAGGCAAAGUGUACAGUGUUGUGAAGUAAGGUUGGUGCUCUACUCUCAACUGUCUGUCAUAUGGAGACAGAAUUUAUUUUGUCAAAAUACUGAGAUAACAAUAACAAACUAAAAACAUUUACAGAAGAAGAUGUAGAAUAGUCUAUCCUACCAUAUCCAUGAAGGUAUACUUUUGUUUACUAACCUUUAUCUUUUUUUUUUCUUCCUUUUUUUUCUUUUUCUUAUUUUUCUUCUUUUUUUUUUAACAUGAUUUUGAGUUAUCCAUAAAAAAGUCACAUAGUCUUAUUUGUUACACCCUUCUUAAUUAUUUCCUUUAAUUUAGAUAAAAUAUAUAUUUUGUGGAAAUUAAACUUGUUUCCAUGGUAAAGGAAGAUUAAUAAGCUCUUUUUGUAUCACCACUUACAGUUCACUAUGAAACUGCCCUUGUGCAGCCUCAUCAGCUAUUUCUGUUGGCACACAACAGAGCUGGAGUUUUGCCUAGAGUAGCACAAUCUUUUUAUUUGCUGGAGAAACAGCUAGUCACCACCUCAGCUAUAUGAUACUCUGCCUACUGCUAUGCAGGGACUUAGUUGCUCACUGUUUGUGCUAGUGCCCACAUCUCUAAAGCUCUGUGAUGUCCACACCUUAUCAUUUUUUUCCUAACAGUUCUCUGUAUUCCUGUUUUUUAUAUAUUUCUGUUGGUUUCUUUCAGCCUCUUACUCUCAGUCAGUGCCUGACUUGACUACUUGCUUACAGUUGUCAUGCCAACUACCAAUCCUGGAAACUCAAGUAGAGAGAGGAUUUAUCCUUUUUUCUCCCCUUUUUUUGUGAGAAGUACUCACUUCACAGUUACCAAGCUGCGUGAACUGAAUGUAUGAAUUGCAUUGGAAAACAAUAUGUUAAAAGGGAAUUGCUUUAGAAAGGAAGAAACAUGGAAAUUUCAUCUCAGGUAAUAUUGCUCUGCGGAGAUUCCUAUAGCCAUUUGUUAGUGAAGAGAAGAAAAGAUUCAUUAUGGAAUGACCUAUGGCAUUUUAUAUUUGCAGUACAGUCUUCAACACGAUAAGCAAUAAGUUAAUAGCCAGUAUUUCACAGUCUAGCAACUGCAAACAUCUGUAUCUACAGUGUCCCCUUAUAUGAAUUUGGAUUGUUUGGUAAAUUAAGAUAAUAACCUUUAUAUA